CCUACGUGAGGCAGCAGUGGGGAAUAUUGCGCAAUGGGCGAAAGCCUGACGCAGCGACGCCGCGUGAGGGAUGAAGGUCUUCGGAUCGUAAACCUCUGUCAGCAGGGAAGAACGGUCACUGUGCUAAUCAGCAGUGAAUUGACGGUACCUGCAAAGGAAGCACCGGCUAACUCCGUGCCAGCAGCCGCGGUAAUACGGAGGGUGCGAGCGUUACUCGGAAUUACUGGGCGUAAAGCGCUCGUAGGCGGUAUGUCAAGUCAAGGGUGAAAUCCCCGCGCUAAACGUGGGAACUGCCUUUGAAACUGGCAAACUGGAGUGUGUGAGAGGAUAGUGGAAUGCCAGGGGGAGGAGUGAAAUCCGUAGAUAUCUGGAGGAACAUCAGUGGCGAAGGCGACUAUCUGGCACAUAACUGACGCUGAGGAGCGAAAGCGUGGGUAGCAAACAGGAUUAGAUACCCGAGUAGUC
RNAcentral lists this ribosomal RNA (465 nucleotides) under uncultured bacterium. RNAcentral describes it as "partial 16S ribosomal RNA". It matches the Rfam family "Bacterial small subunit ribosomal RNA", at positions 338 to 795 of the family's 1533-position model. The record is from RNAcentral.